UGGACCGAUGAUGAUGAUGUAUUAUGAGUAAAAGAUUAUGACUAAUCCAAUUCUGUUCAACUAAGGUCUGUU
This 72-nucleotide small nucleolar RNA is filed under the name Choloepus hoffmanni (Hoffmann's two-fingered sloth). Its description in RNAcentral is "Small nucleolar RNA SNORD112 (ENSCHOG00000016145.1)". The record is from RNAcentral. Lineage: Eukaryota; Metazoa; Chordata; Mammalia; Pilosa; Megalonychidae.